This 263-nucleotide ribosomal RNA is filed under the name uncultured bacterium. RNAcentral's name for it is "partial 16S ribosomal RNA". It matches the Rfam family "Bacterial small subunit ribosomal RNA", at positions 793 to 1055 of the family's 1533-position model. The record is from RNAcentral.
GUCCUAGCCGUAAACGAUGGGCACUAGGUGUAGGGAGUUAUCAACUCUCCCUGUGCCGUAGCUAACGCAAUAAGUGCCCCGCCUGGGGAGUACGGUCGCAAGACUAAAACUCAAAGGAAUUGACGGGGCCCGCACAAGCGGCGGAGCAUGUGGCUUAAUUCGAUGCAACGCGAAGAACCUUACCCAGGCUUGACAUGUAGGGGAAAGCCAUGGAAACAUGGCCCUCCUUCGGGACCCUUAUGCAGGUGGUGCAUGGUUGUCGU